CUGCUUCGGUCACGCCUGAGCUUGCGUUCUAACCCAACUCCCCAAAUCUCCUCCCGUCUCAGUCCCACGGACGGUCUGGCUGCGCUGUCGAGUUGAGGCGUUCAGUCCAGGCGGCCUGUUAACAAGCAGGCGCCGGUCUCAGCCCAGGCAAGGGAUCACCGCGUCUCGUUGCCGUCGUAGGAGCCGAGAACGAGAGGCCCAGACCUGCCGACGCCUGGCCAGCUCUGUCCGAGCGAGUGUGAAUUAGAGUGGGAGAGGCUUCACUUGGACAUACAGAAGAACACCGGGAUGGAUAACCUGGAGAGAAGAAUUCCUGCCCUGGAGAGGCGCGGGUAAGACCAGACGACCGUCUGUCAUUCACCUGUAAAAACUCAAUGAAAUUUCCUAGGAAUUUUUGAUGGCCUCUGACUUCCACUCUAGAUCCGAAGCCCCCGCUGUCACGUUCUGGCAUGCUUGUCCCGAGAAUGACUCGUU
This 474-nucleotide long non-coding RNA is filed under the name Ornithorhynchus anatinus (platypus). Its description in RNAcentral is "lncRNA (ENSOANG00000037993.1)". The record is from RNAcentral. Lineage: Eukaryota; Metazoa; Chordata; Mammalia; Monotremata; Ornithorhynchidae.